ACUCAUCUGACAUAUUUCAUUUGGAAUGUGACCGGAAAAACUGUUUGAUCGAAGGCGGAGGAUUUUCAUAUUUGAGAGCUUUUCUCCAACCCAUGUUGGAAUACAUCCUGAAAGAUUAUUUUCUCCAAGAUCCAAGGAUAUCAAUUGGCUAGUCUUCUUCAGACUGGUAGGAAAUAUUCCCGAGAGCAAGUUGUUACGAAUUUCUAAUGACUGCAGCUCAGCCAAGGAACCCAUGGAUGGGGGGAAGUUCCCAACAAAAUGGUUGCUUUGUAAAUUCACGUCCACUAGAAAUGGCCAAUUAAUCCAACAAUCAGGUAUUUCUCCUGACAGAUUAUUUGAUGCAAGAUUGAGAAAUUCUAAUUGCAUUGGCUUGUCCUGAUUGUUACAUAAAAAAUCUUGCAUGGAUUCAGAGAAUGAAUUGGUUGAAAGGUCUAACUCAUACACAUCAUUUGAAAGAUAGGGUAAUUUACCACACAAGUGAUUUGUGCUUAGAUCAACAGUUUUGAUAGAUAUUGGAUUUUUUAUUGUAGUCACAAGCUCACCAUGGAUAUGAUUAUGAGAGAGGUUUAAAUACAAAACCUGAGAAUGUGCUUCCCAGAACCAAGUGGGAAUAGAAUCUAAAAUCCCUGUGUUAGACAGUCCAACAUAUCGAAGUUUGUUUUGUGACUGAAUCCACGAUGGAAAGUUGGGACCUAUCUGCCAUGAUGUCACAUCCAAAUAGGAAAGCUGGAAAUUAGGAAGCCAAUUGGGACCCACUUUUAAAGUGAAAUUGUUCCCUGAUGCAUCAAACUCCUUCAAACUUGUAAGAUUUGCAAGAUCAUCUUCGUUGACAACUCCUUGAAAAUUAUUGCCAUUAAUAAGAAGCGAUGACAAUUUAGAGAGUGAUCCAAGACUUUCAAAUGGAUUUCCACUGAAUUUAUUAAUAGAGAGAUAGAGAUAUUUUAAAUCUAUCUCCCUUGAGUUGCGGAGAUUACCCAAAAAAGUCGGAAUUGUUCCUUCAAGUUGAUUAUAUGACAAAUCAAGUUCAACAAGAGAAGUCAAAUUUCCCAAAGAAGUUGGAAUGGUUCCUUCAACUUGAUUAUGUGACAAAUCAAGUCCGACAAGAGAAGUCAAAUUUCCCAGGGCAUCAGAAAUAGUCCCAUGCAAGUUGCUGGAACUUAGGUCCAGAUACUUGAGACGAUGAAGACCGUAUAAGCAAUUAGGUAUAGAAGAUGAAAAUGAAUUGAAAGACAACUCAAGAUUUUGAAGAAGUGUGAGGUUUCGAAUACCACCAGGAAUCGGACCUUGAAUUUCAUUACCCUGUAAUUGAAGAGAAACAAGUUUCUUCAAUUUGAAUAUCCACUUGGGGACAAAAGAAAUGGCAGGGGAAUAACUAGUACGGGAAAGAUCGAGAGUUUGCAGAGAUGAGAAGUUGAGCAAGGAUGGUUCAUUAUAGUGAGGGAGUUUGCAGUCUGACAAAUCUAGGUGGGUCAAAGAAGGAAGAGAUUGGAGAGUGUGUAGCCAAUGAAAUGCUUUGGAUAGGUUUGCAUAACUCAAAUGAAGAUAUUCAAGCUUCCACAUACUUGAUACCCAUUCUACAUUUUCAGCUAACAGAUGUUCGACAGCAGAAUAAUCUACAUUUUCAGCAAACAGAUCAUAACUACCUCCAAGGCCAAGAUAGACCAAAUUGGAGAGAUUCCCAAUCUGAGAUGGAAUCUUCCCCAUGAAUCCAGUAUGAGAGAGGUCGAGGUGAGUCAAGGAGGUCAUUGUGUUGAGUUGGUUAGGAUUCAGUUACAGAGGAGAGAAAAAUAGAGAAUGAAGAUGAAAGAAGAAAAAAAUAUUAUGAUUGAUUUGUAAAGUGUGUGUUACAAAGUAUUUAUAUUCUCAGAUACAAGCUACUACUAAACAAGACUACAACUAACUAGUUAUAAUCUCAACACCCUCCCUCAAGCUUAUCAUGGUAGAUGUUGAUCAUGCUAAGCUUGGAGACAAAAUCAUGAAAUUUGGGUGGUGCCAAUGCUUUGGUGAGAAAAUCUGCCACUUGAUCACUUGUUGAAACUGGUAGUAGCUUUAGAGUGCCCUUCAAAAGCUUCUCUCGCACAAGAUGGCAAUCAAUUUCCAAGUGUUUUGUGCGUUCGUGAAAAACCGGAUUUGAGGCAAUGUGGACUGCGCUUUGGUUGUCACAGUAAAGAGUUGGAGUUCUGGUAAGCUGAACUCUCAAAUCUGCAAAAAGAUACAACAGCCAUUGCAACUCACAAGCAGCUGAAGACAGAGCCCUGUACUCUGCUUCUGAAGAUGAUCUGGACACAGUUGCUUGCUUUUUAGCACGCCAUGACACUAAAGAUUUGCCUAUGAAGAAACAAUAUCCAGAUAUGGAUUUUCUAGAAUCCAUACAGCCUGCCCAAUCAGCAUCUGAAUAACCUAUAAGUUGCAUUUCUGAAGUUCUGCUAAAGAAAAUACCUUGGCCUGGGUUGUUCUUCAAAUACCUCAAUACUCUACAUGCUGCAUUGAAAUGAACAUUUGUGGGUGCUUGCAUGAACUGGCUAAGUUGUUGUGUUGCAAAAGCAAUGUCUGGCCUAGUUGUGUUUAAAUACAACAACUUCCCAACUAUGCGCCUGUAACCUGAAAUAUCAGCAUAAGGAGUGCCUGCAGCACUGUGCAACUUUAUGGAUGUGUCAAGAGGUGUGCUAGCAGGUUUGCACCCAAGUAAUCCUGAAUCCUUAAGCAGAUCCAGACAAUAUUUCCUCUGUGAGAUGGUAAUACCCAGUCUAGAAUGAGCAACUUCAAGCCCAAGAAAGUAUUUCAACUUACCCAGAUUUUUAAUUUUGAAAGCUAAAUCAAGAACAUUCUUGAUCCUGUCAAAUUCAUCAAUUGAAUCACCUGCAAGAAUGAUGUCAUCUACAUAUACCAACAGUGCAGUGAAAGUAUUUCCUUUGGUGAGAGUAAAUAGGGAGUAAUCUGAAAUUGAUUGUAUGUAACCUUCUUUGAGAAGCAAAUUAGUCAGCUUUUCAUACCACUUCCUACUUGCUUGCUUCAACCCAUACAAGCUCUUUUGUAGCUUGCAAACAGAAUUAGGCUUGGCACAAGUUACCCCAUCUGGUAUUUUCAUGUAAACAUCUUCUUGAAGAUCUCCAUGAAGAAAAGCAUUAUUGACAUCCAGUUGAUGAAGGUGCCAAUUCUUUAUGGCAGCUACUGCCAAAAGAGUCCUAACAGUGGUAAUCUUAGCCACAGGGGAGAAGGUCUCAAAAUAGUCAAUCCCUUCUACUUGAUUGUAGCCUUUGGCUACUAAUCUGGCUUUGUAUCUCUCUAUUUGGCCAUUUGCUUUGUGUUUGACUUUAUAAACCCAUUUACAUCCUAUGGGUUUAGUAUGAGGUGGGAGUUCAACAAUUUUCCAGGUACAAUUUUUAGCCAAAGCAUUUAAUUCUUCCUUCAUGGCUGUUACCCAGUGUUCAUGCUUACUAGCUUCCUCAUAAGAUUGAGGCUCAGUGCAGUGUGUGAUUGACAUACUAAAUGCCUUGUGUGAAGGAGACAAAAGUGUAAGUGAAUGAAAAGAAGACAAGGGAUAUUUAGACUUUGUACCUGAAGUGAGAGAUUCGUGUGAAGUUGGAGAUGUAUUGUGACAAACAUAGUCAGACAAAUGUAAUGGUGCCCUUCUUUGUCUGAUGGGUUUGGAAUGUAAUAGAGGAGAAUCAUUGUGAUCUUUAGGUGGAGGUGUGGAGGUAGAGGUAUCAGAAAUGACAGUGUCAUUUGAAAUAUUAGGAGAUAAAGAUGAGUGGGGUGGUGAUGGUGACUGCUCAGCAUUAAUGUCUAAGGAAAUGUCACUAUCUAAGGUAAUGUCACUGUCAUUUGGAGUAGGACUGAUGGAAUGAUACUCCCAAGGAGUCUUGGGAGAUGAGGACUGAUAGGGAAAAAUGUGUUCAUGGUGAGUCACAUCCCUAGACAAGAAUAUGGAAUUAUUUAAUAGAUCAAGGAGUACAACUCCUUUCACACCAGAUUUAUAUCCUAGAAAAACACAUUUUCUAGCUCUAAGGUCUAACUUGGUUCUAUGUGAUUGUAAAGUAGAUGCAAAAACUAGAGAACCAAACACUUUGAGAGUAUCAAAAUCAGGGGCAGUAUUAUACAAUAAAGUAUAAGGAGAUUUGUUUUGUAAAUUUGGUGCAGGGACUCUAUUCAUGAUGUAUACAGCAUGGGAAACAGCAUAACACCAAAAAGACUUGGGGAGAUUAGACUGAACAAGAAGAGCUCUACCUAUGUUUAGAAUUUGCUGAUGUUUUCUCUCAACCCUGCCAUUUUGCUGGGGAGAGUCAACACAGCUAGUCUGGUGUAAUAUACCUUUGGAGGCAUAGAAAUCUGGCAUAAGGAACUCAGGACCAUUGUCUGUACGAAUGGAUUUAACAGAAUGAUUAUAUUGGGUUUUAAUAAAAUGAAUAAAGUUUUGAACAUGAAGUCUAGCUUCAGAUUUAUUUUUCAUUAGGGUUAUCCAAGUAUAUCUAGAAUGGUCAUCAACAGCAGUAAGAAAAUAAGCAUGAUUAUGAACAGAUUUAAUAGAGAUGGGACCCCAUAUGUCAAAAUGAAUCAAAUCAAAACAUUUUAUUGCUUUAUGAUAACUGUGUACAAAAGGUAAUUUUCUGUGUUUAGCAAAGUGACAGAUGUCACACACAGAACUAGAAUCAUUUACAAUAAAGGGGAAUUGAGAGUGUAAAAGAGCAAUUCUAGAACUAGACAGGUGACCUAACCUGAAAUGCCAAAUUGCAUUUUCAGGUAUAUGGACAUUAUUUGCUGAGGAAAAAAUGGAAGAAAUGUUGUAGUUGGAAGAAGCACAUUCCUUAUUUGUCUGAGUCAAGUAGUACAAGCCAUCUCUGCUUUCACCCAAACCAAUCAUCUUCAGUGAUUUCUGCUCCUGUAUGGAACAAAUAGUGUCAGUGAAAUUGAGUGUAUAAGGUGUAUGGUGACAUAAUUGAGAGACAGAAAUCAAAUUGACUGUAAAGGUAGGAACAUAUAGGACAUUGGUGAUACUAAAAGAAGAGGAAAACACAACUGUGCCUGCAUAUUUAGUGGUGACAUGAUUACCAUUUGGUAAUUUUAUAAUCAUGGGAUUGAUUUCACUAUAAGAGUGAAACCAGUGCAGUGAGGCACAUAUGUGAUGACUAGCACCUGAAUCUAUGAUCCAGGUAUCAAGAGCAAUAUUAUUACAAAUAGAAGAAUAAAAAAAAUGAGAUAUUUUCAUACCCUUCGUAUCUGCUGAUGAAGGACCAGCAGUGUUGAAUGAGCAAACCUGUUUAGAAGUAGAAGCAUUACAAUGGUUAACAGAAGGAGGUUGAAUUAACUGCAGAAGCUUAUCUAAUUGUUCCUGAGUAAGUGAAGGAGUCAUGGUGACACUUGUGGUGUUCUGAGAUGCAGUUGAAGAUUCAACACGUUCUCCCCCAUCAACUGCAGAAUGAUGAGCAGAACCAGAGUGAUUUUUCAUCAUGUGAGGAGGAACACCAUGCUUUUGAAAGCAAUUCUCAACAAAGUGAUUCGUCUUAUGACAAUAGGUACAGUAGCGCUUGGAACCAGAAUUAGAUCUUCCAUUAGCAGAACCUUGAGACUUACUAGUUGAAGCAUUAACAAGAGCCUUUGAAUCAUCAAGAUUAGGAACACAAUUUUGACGUUCAAAUUGAAUCACCAUAGAAAAGAUCUUGGUGAUAGAAGGUAGAGGUUCAAUCAGAAGAAUCUGAGAUUUAACCGCAUUGAAUUCAUCGUUUAAACCAGUCAAGAAACGCAUAACAUGAAGCGUAUGAUGAUGACGACGAGCAAGACGCAUCGCAUCACAAGAACAACGAUGAUGACAUGUGCAAUUUGGAAUCGGCAUGUAAAUUUCAAGUUCUUCCCAAAGCGCUUUCAGAUCAGAAUAGAAAGUAGUUACAGAUCGAGUACCUUGAGUGAGAGCGUAAAUCUCUUGUUGAAUUUCUGAAACACGAACCAAAUCACCUUGUGAGAAACGCUCUUUCAGAUCGAGCCACACAUCGGAAGCGUUAUCCAUGAAAACGAUGGAUCGGGAAAUGGAAGGUUCAACGGAGUUGAGAAUCCAGCUAUGAAUCAACAUAUUGCAGCGAUUCCAAGCUCGGAACGACGGAUCGAAGGCAUCAACCGGCAUCGGAAUUGUUCCGUCAAGAAAUUCGAACUUGAGUUUGGCUCCGAGAGCGCGUCGCAGAGACCUCGCCCAAGAAUGGUAGUUGGAACCAUCGAGGAGUGGUGUGACCUUGACGGAGGAGGGACCGUCGCUAGGAUGAACAAAGAACGGACUAGUAGGAUCAGUAGAGGGAUCCGCCGGUGGCGGUGGUGCUAUACGCGGUGGCAUAGUGGCGGAAGCAAAAGGAAUGGAUCGUUAGGUCGAUGAUACCAUGUUGAGUUGGUUAGGAUUCAGUUACAGAGGAGAGAAAAAUAGAGAAUGAAGAUGAAAGAAGAAAAAAAUAUUAUGAUUGAUUUGUAAAGUGUGUGUUACAAAGUAUUUAUAUUCUCAGAUACAAGCUACUACUAAACAAGACUACAACUAACUAGUUAUAAUCUCAACACAUUGCACAAAGGAAAGAAGGAAUUGCCAUACCUUCUCCAAGUAAAUCAUUGUCGCUCAAGUCAAGAUAUCGAAGCUUAGAGAGAUUCCCGAUCUGAGAGGGUACUGUUCCGUUGGCAAAAACAUAACUCAGGUCAAGAUACACCAAAUUUGAGAGAUUCCCAAUCUGAGGAGGAAUCUUCCCAUAGAAUCCAGUAAGAGAGAGGUCGAGGUGAGUCAAGGAAGUUAUUGUCCCAAGGAAAGAAGGAAUUGACAUACCUGCUCCAAGUAAAUAAUUGGCGCUCAAGUCCAAGUAAUUCAAAUGCUUUAAAUCAGCCAAACAAGGACUUAUCUCUCCACCAAACUGGAAUCUCCUAUAAGCUCCCCUGUCAUAGAAAGCAGCAGAAAACGUAGUGUUGAGGUGAAGCUGAAGAAGAUGGGAAGUGACGUUGUGGCAGAGGACUCCAUACCAGUGGCAACAGUUGGUAUUAUUAUGAUUCCAAGACCAAAGCCUAUUGGAAGGAUCUAUGAGAUUAUUCUUAAACUUCAAAAGUGUCUCACGCUCACUUGGGAUGCACACACUCUCUCUGCAUGGUAAGCUCAACAACCAAAGCUGGACAAAGACAAGAAUAUAAAUGGAGGAAUUCAUGAUCACACAAGAAUAUAUAGAAAACAAGUGUAGUUGUUGGUUCUGCAUAUAAAUCAUCAAACUUCUAUUAUUUAUACUGCUGCCCUGCCUGUUUUUUUAGGUACAGUUUUUUUUUACAAAAAUAAAUAAGAAUUAUUUUAUUUUAAUUUACUCUAUAAUACUGCUUAAAUGAAAAUUUGGUGUCAUUAAACUUCAAAUUUUAAUUAUUAUUUAAUCAAUCCUUCCGUUAAACUUUUGUUACGUACAAAAGUCCAACAUUUUUUUAAGAAAAAAUCAAGUCUUUUAUUUCAUCAAAUUUAAUAUUAAAUUAUCAAAUUUUCAAUAUUCAAAACUAAAAAUAAUGUAAAAGAAAAUUGUCUUCUAAAUCAUAGCUUACACCAUCAAGUCAAUCUCAAGGUUUUUCAUUUUUUCAUCUUGAACCUUUGGACACUUCACAAAGUCCAGCCAUGAUGUUAAGGUCUGACUUCUUCAACUUGAACCAUAGGUCACUGCAUUAAUUACCUUCAUAUCAAGUUCCCUGUCAUUGACAACACAUGUUGCAAGUUGAGUCAAGCAAGGAAAAAAAAUAUUAUUGAUGAAUAAAUCAAUUAUAGGAAAAGAGUUUACUUUAAAGACUAUUUUGGUUAAAAAAAUCUAUAAAAAAAAUUAUUUCAUUCCAAGCUAGCUAUUUAAUUUUGAUCAAUUUUUCAAUUCACAAAAUAAUAUUCUUCUUAUAUGUGAAAAUGACUAAUUAAUCUUCAUUGUCAUUAAUGAUUGUUGUGUUGUCUAUUUCUAAUUGUUUUUUUAAUCAUAAUAUUAUUUUCUUUUUAUUAAAAAUUAAUUAGUGAGAUACAAAGAAGUUUAACUUGAUCUAUCAUAAUUAUUGAGAUCAUAGUUUUUCCUUUUAUAAGUCUUGGUCUAAAUUUCUCCAUGUAUUGUAGAUCAUAUUUAACUUAAAAAGUAAAUUAGAAGAUCUACAAAGAAGUGUGACAUGUUUUUUAAAUUAUAAAAUUAUGGUCCUAGCUAUUUAUUGUUAGACCACAAGUUUUCAUAUAUUAAAGUUUUUGUCUAAAUUUCAUUUAUGGUGAUAGUUUAAGAAUAGUGAUAGAAGACAAAAAUAAAUAUUCAAUUUAUUGAAAUAUCUAACUCAAUUAAUUGAUGAAUACAUCAAUUAUAGGAAAAGGGUGUACUUUAAAGACUAUUUCUAUUAAAAAAUCUAUAAAAAAAUUAUUUCCUUCCAAUCUAAUUAUUUAAUUUUAAUCAAUUUUUCAGUUCACAAAAUAAUAUUCUCUUAUAUAGGAAAAAAAGACUAGAUUUAAUUAUCAUCAAUUGGAAAAGUAAUUGUGUCAUGCAUUUAUAAUUGUAUUCUAACUUGAAUAUUAUUUUAUUUAUCAUAUAAAAAUUAAUUAGUUAUAUAAAAGAAGUAAAAAUAAUAUUAACUUUUUUUCUGAAAAAAAAAUCAGUGUCAUAUUUUAUAUUUUUUACAAGUUAUCAACUUAAAUAAGAGGAGAAACAUAAUUUUAAUUUCCAUUUUACUUUUUAAAUAAUUGCAAGUGCCAAAUUUAAAUAAUUAUGAGAAUCACGUUCAAUAUAAUAUUCUAAAAAAAAUCCAUAUGAUAACUUAAACAAUCUAUAAAGAAAUAUAAUUUAUUCUUGUGCCAAAUACUAAAACAAAAAACAUUUUUUAUUUUAGUUUACCGUAUAGAACUGCUUAAAUCAAUGAAAUUUUUAUUUUAAGAAAAUAUUAAUGAUUUUUUUUAAAACUUUAAGUAGUUUACAUCAAAGAUAAUUAAAUUUGGCUUAAUUAGUCUUCAAAUUUUAACUAUUAUUCAUAUCAAUCCUUUCGUUAAACCUGUACGUGUUAAGUAAACAACAAAAAGUCUUGUCUUAUAAAAUUCAAACAUUCUAUGACAUGCGGUUUGAACUCAUAAUUAAUUUUAAACUAUCAAAUUUUAAUUAUUCAAAAUAAAAGAAAUGAAAACAAAAUUGUCUCCUAGAGAAACCGCUGGCCACUCCACCAAAUUCAUAUCAAGGUCCCCACUUUUCCAACUUGAACCAUAGACUACUCCAUCAAAUCUAUGUCAAGGUCCUCCAUUUCAAGGUCCCCACUUUUCCAACUUGAACCAUAGACUACUUCAACCUUAGGACACUCCACAAAGUCCACCCAUAUUAAGGUCUCUGCCUUCUUCAACUUCUGCAACGCAUAUAUAGAAAACAACUUAAUUGUAUAAGUGCUUCUUGCUUCUGCAUAUAAAUCAUAAAACUUCUAUUAUUUAUACUGCUGCAAGUGUCUUUCUUGACUUUUUUUCUUUUUUUUAUGAUGUUUCCUUUUUUUAAUUAUUGACUUUAUUAUCCAAUUCUCCCGAGUUAAUUCUUAGAAUAGGAAAUAAUUUUGAAUUUACUUUAUCUAUCUCCCUUUUUAAAAUUCCUAUAUACACAAAAUUUUAUAUUGAAUUUAACUAUUAUUUAAUAUAUCCUUUCGUUAAACUUUUGUUAAUUAAACAAUAAAAGUCCAACAUUUUAUUAAAAAAAUUCAAGUCUUCUAUUUCAUGGACUCCAUCAAGUCUUUUAUUAAAAGUCCAACUUUUGUUAAUUCAAGUCUUUUACAAAAUUUUGUUAAUUCAACUUUUGUUAAUUAUUACAAAAUUUGGUAUUGAAUUUAACUAUUAUUUAAUUCAAGCCUUUUAUUAAAAGUUCAAAUUUUGUUAAUUUAAAUAUUAUUUUGUUAAUUAAACCAUAGCUGACUCCAUCAAGUCGUAUUUUUUCAUCUUGAACCUUUGGACACUCCACAAAGUCCAGCCAUGUUAUGGUCUCUGGCUUCAACUUGAACCAUAGCCUGGGCCACAAACAAUAUAUUAAUGAUAAAUACAUCAAUUAUAGGAAAAUGGUCUAAUUUAAAGACUAUUUCAGUUAAAAAAUCUAUAUAAAAAAAAUUAUUUCGUUCAUAUCUUGGUAUUUAAUUUUGAUCAAUUUUUUAAUUCACAAAAUAAUAUUCUCUUAUAUAUGAAAAAGCUAGACUAGAUUUAAUCGUCAUUUGGAAUGGUUGUUGUGUGAUCUAUUUCUAAUUGUAUUCAAACAUGAAUAUUAUUUUCAUUAUCAUAUAAAAAUUAAUUGGUGAUAUAAAAAGAAGUGUGAAAAAGAAUAUUAAUUUUUUUCUAAAAAAAAUUAGUAGCAUAUUUUGUAUUUUUUUACACGUCAUCAACUUAAAUAAUAGGAGAAACAUAAUUUUAAUUUCCAUUUUAAUUUUUAAAUAAUUUUAAUUGCCAAAUUUAAGCAAUCAUAAAAUUUCUCAUGUUCAAUAUAAUAUUCUAAAAAAAAAUAUUCAUAUGAUAACUUAAAUAAUCUACUAAGAAAUAUGAUUUAUUCUUAUGCAGAUCGAAUACUAAAAUAAGAAAAAAAAAUAUUUUAGAUCACAAUAUAAAAUUGCUUAAAUCAAUGAAAUUUCAUUUUAAGAAAAUAUUAAUAAUUUUUAAUACUUUAAAUCAAAGAUAAUUAAAUUUGGUUUAAUUAGUCUUCAAAUUUUAACUAUUAUUUAAAUCAAUCCUUUCAUUACACCUUUGUUAAGUAAAUGAUAGCAUAGCAAGCAAGGAGGUGCUAGCAGUAACACUCUCACAAAGAUAAAGAUCUUUAAGCCAUCAUUUUUUUUCCUUUUCUUUUCUAUGAACUGUCAUUUCUUAUCUCUACAUGGAAUGUCUAGAAGUUGAAAACUUGAGCUUUCUUUAACUAUACUGCUUUCCAUUUUGGCGAACUGCUUUUCUUUCUCAUAAUGAACUUUCCACUUCCAAUGAUGGUUCAACAUUAAUAAUUCUUUAUCUAUUUUGUCUAAAAAUUUCCAAUCACUUUUUGUGAGUGGUGUGAAUGUCAUGCAGACAAAUGAUGUCCAAGCUCCACUUUUUCCAUUCAUUGCAAGUUGUAAGCAGAAUGUAGAAUGUACGUAUAAUAAAAUAAUGAGAAUGCCAACUACUAGUACGUAGUACUUAAUUAAAACAAAAGUAUCAAAAUUAGAACGAAAAUAACUUUGAUGCUGUUAAUACAUGAGUUUAAUUUUGAUACACAGUGUAAAAAUUUAAAUUUUUAAUUAAUUAGAAAUCACCUAAUGAUUUGUAAAACAAUUACUAAAAAAAGUUUCAUUUGAAACUUAGUCUUCCACCCGUCUCAAGCUCUCCACAUGAACACUAAGCUCUAGACAAAAAUAAAUAAAUAAAUAAAUAACCACGAGAAAUAAUAUAUAACUCUUUAGUGGACAAUUGGUGUUCUUUUGUGCAUUCAGUUGAAGGAAGUUCCCAGAUUGGCAGAAAGCAAGGGACAGAUGAAACGGCCACAGCUAAGAAUAGUGCAUCUUAUAUCGGGAAGAGAUUGUUAGAAAGUUUGGUUGCAGUUGCAGGGCUUCUAAUUUGGCUUUCAUGAGCAUUACUCAAAUACUACCUAUAUAUUACCACUUUCAUAUCACAAAAUGUCUUGCCUUAUAAAAUUUAAAUAUUCUAUUACUUGCAGUUUGAAUCCAUAAUUAAAUUUAAAAUAUCAAUUUUUUAUUAUUCCAAAUAAAAGAAAUGAAAACAAAAUUGUCUAGUCUCCUAGACAAACCACUUCCCACUCCACCAAAUUCAUAUCAAGGACCCCACUUUUCCCACUUGAACCAUAGACUACUCCAUCAAGUCCAAGUCAAUGUCCUUCAUUUUUUCAUCUUGAAUCUUAGGACACUCCACAAAGUCCAGCCAACCAUAUUUAGGUCUCUAUCUUCUUCAACAUGAACCAUAGGUCACUACAUUACCUUCAUAUCAAGUUCCUUAUCAUUGACAACAAAUGUUUAGAAUUAAGUAAGCAAGGAAAAAAAAUAUAAAUGAUGAAUACACCAAUUAUAGGAAAAUGAUCUAAUUUAAAGACUAUUUCGGUUAAAAAAUCUAUAUAAAAAAAGACUCUUUCGUUUCAAUCUAACUAUUUAAUUUUGAUCUAUUUUUUAAUUUACAAAAUAAUAUUCUUCUUAUAUGUGAAAAAAAAACUAAUUUUCAUUGUCAUUAAUCGGAAAGAUUGUUGUGUCGUCUAUUUCUAAUUGUAUUUUAGCCUGAAUAUUAUAUUCUUUUUCAUUAAAAAUUAAUUAGUAAGAUACAAAGAAAUGUAAAAUGCUUGUUUAACUUGGUCUAUCAUAAUUAUUGAGAUCAUAACUUUUUUCUUUUAUAAGUCUUUGUCCAAAUUUCUCCAUAUAUUGUAGAUCAUAUUUAGCUUAAAAAGUAAAUUAGAGGAUAUGAUAUACCAAGAAGUGUGGCAUGUUUUUUUAAAUUAUUUAUCUAUGGCCUUAGCUAUUUUAUUUUUAGACCACAAGUCUUCAUAUAUUAAAGUCUUUGUCUGAAUUUCAUUUACUUGUGUGGUGAUAUUUUAAGAAUAGUGAUAGAAGAGAAAAAUAAAUAUAUAAUUUAUUGAAAUAUCUAACUUAUGAAGAUUUGCAUUCUUAAUGCAUAAGAUUUUCAGUUUAUAUAUUAUCAUUAUUUGGAAAUAUUUUUUGUGUUAAUUGUCUAUUUCUAAUUAAUUUGAAAAUGAAUCUUAAUUUUUUAUCAUAAAAAUUAGUAUUAUAUUUUUUAUUUUCUUUACAAGUUAUCAACUUAAAUACUAAUAGGAGCAACAUAAUUUUAAUUUCCAUUUUACUUUUUAAAUAAUUUUAAGUGCCAAAUUUAAGCAAUCAUAAAAAUACUCACGUUCAAUAUAAUAUUUUUAAAAAAUAAUUCAUGAGAUCACUUAAAUAAUCUUCAAAGAAAUAUAAUUUAUUCUUGUGCCAAAUAAACAACAAAAAAAGUCUUGCAUUAUUAAAUUCAAGUCUUCUAUUACAUGCAAUUUGAACCUAUAACUAAUUUUAAAUGAUCAAAUUUUUAUUAUUCAAAAUAAAAGAAAAGAAAAAAAAAUUGUCUUCUAGACAAACCAGAGACAACUCCACCAAAUCCAUAUCAAGGUCCCCACUUUUUUAACUUGAACCAUAGGCCACUCCAUCAAAUCUAUGCCAAAGUUUCUUAUCAUUGACAACAAAUGCUGAGAGUUAAGUCAAGCAUGAAAAAAAAUAGGGUAAAAUAUAUCAUUUCUAUCCCUAUAAAAUUUUAAUGUGCUACUUUUUUUUUUUAUCCUGAGUUAAGUUUGGAUGAUAGAUAAUUAUCAUGUAUUCUUAGAUUUUGGUGUCAUUUUAGGAUAUUUAUGUGAUAUAUGUCUUUUAUGCUUUUUUAUUGUCAUGAACUAAUCUUCUCUUUUGUUGGAGUUGAAUAUAAUUGGUUCAUUUUUCAUGUAAUGACUAUUUUUUAUUGAAUAAAGCAUUCUAAUUGUUUCUCUUCUAUGUUUAAUAUGUGUUUUUGGCUUAAUCACCUGUUUGUAUGAUUUUUUUUAUUCAAUUGUAAUUUAAAUUUUUUUUUGAACUAUGAAUUGCAAAAAACACCUAAUAAUUUUUAUGUCUAGGAAUAAGAUAAAAAGAAUUGAGCAUCAAUAAACACUUUAUCUUAAUGAAAAUCAUUUAGUUAUAUUAAUUUAAGGGAUUAAGGGAUUUAGGUCUCUUCACUAGGAAUUAAAGUGAAGAUAAUAUGAUGGGAUUAUGAUAAUAUAACCUUUAUUAAAUAUAAAUGUGUAGUUAUUAGGUAAUAGAAACUUCAAUGAAAUUAAACCCCAACAAUUUUUUCAUUGAUUUAACCCCAACAAUUACAUGAGGUGUUUGUUAAAAUUCCCAAACAAUUUUUUUCCUUAAUUUUUUCCUUAAUUUUUUCUUUUAUUUUCUUCUUUAGUUUUCUUAUUUUUAUUUCUUACUUUAAUUUCUUUAUCUUUAUGCAUAUUGUUAUUUAAAUCAAAUUAGCUAAUGUUAAUUAAUUUCAAAUAUGCAUAGUAUAGAAAUUAUACUUUUUAUUACCCAAUUAUUGCCUAAGUCCUGUUAAUGCUAAUCAUUGUUAGAGCACAGAUAGUAGAAGACAAUAAUGCGUGAUAAAUACAAAACAGAAUUUGAUGCUCAAGUCUGAAGCUCGUCUAGUUCUCUUAACAUUAAGAACAUUUAUUACCAAUGAAAGCAAAACAAACAGACACCCCAUAUGAACAUGUACAUAGUAUGGUAAACCUUUUCACAUUUUUAAUGUCUAGAAUAACACGUUGUAAUGUCUCUCACUCCUAACAGUUAACAUGUAAACUCACAAUUUCCCAAGUAACCUUCUUACCUUCAAAACUAUUAUCACAUAAAUCAGAUCUCUCAAGUGGUCAAGAUAAUGAAAAUAAGCACGCCUCCAAGUUCUGUUGAAGAAAACAACACUGCAAAAACCCCAAAAUCCUGCUGCAAAUCCAACUCCCAUACCGAUAUAAAACUCUGAUGUUCCAAAGAAAUUACCAUCACCGUGUCCAACAGAAGCACUCUCUGUCAACUCUUCCUUGUCUGUGCAAUUUUUUGUCACAGGAGGACCACAAAGCUCAGGAUUUCCAGUGUAGCUAAGUUCUUCAAAGCUCUGAAGUUGGGUGCUCGUGGGAAUUCUGCCUGAUAAGUUGUUGUAUGAUAGAUUCAGGACACUGAGGAAGGACAAAUCAGAUAAGCUUUGAGGGAUUUGACCUGAAAUGUUGUUUAGUGAGAGAUCAAGGGAUUCUAACAAUUUCAUUUUUCCCAUGUCAUUUGGUAUCCCUCCAGACAGAUGAUUUCUAGACAAGUUCAAAAACCGCAAAGCAGAUAGCUUGGAAAUUUCAGAUGGAAUUGCUCCAGACAGCUUAUUACUUGAAAGAUCAGUCAUUCUCACCAAUAUCAGAUUGUCUCUGUACUCUAACUCAUCUCCUUUGGGAACUAAGACAAGAGUUUCCUUGUAGUGGUUAUAACUGAAGUCAGAGCCAUAUGAAUAACUUAAAGGGUUGGCAAAGAAGUCAUCUUCACCAGCCAUUGUCUUCAUGUCAUCCAAACAAUUUGGAAUGGAUCCUGACAGGCUGUUAUUGCCAAGAUCCAGCACUAUAAGGGAAGAAAGUUGACAAAUCUUUUCAGUAAUGCUGCCAUUGAAAUUGUUGGAUCUUAGACGAAGAACCAUUAGAUAUUGCAUUUCCCACAUCCAAUCUGGUAUUGCGUCAGAAAGUUGGUUAUUGCCCAUGUCAAUGAAUUUCAUUGUAGAGCAAUUUUGCAGUGUUGAAGGAAUAUAUCCAGAGAAGCGGUUGUCGUCUAACAACAAAGACUCAAGUUGAGAUAGAUACCCCAUGGAGUUUGGAAUAGCACCAGACAAAUUGUUACUACCCAAGUUCAAAUGCACCAAAGCUUGCCAAUGCACCCAACAGUGACCAAGAUCACCAGAUAAGACAUUAUUUGAAAAAUCAAGCACACUUAAAUUAUUAGUAGCAUUUUCCUUUCCACAUAAAAAGGGAGAAAUUGUUCCGGAAAUUGAGUUAUUGGCAACAUUCAGCACUUCAACAUUUGCAGACACACUUGGCAAUGUACCCUUGAACAAAUUAGAACUCAAAUUUAUGAGGCUGGAAUUGAGAAAGAUGUUAGAUAGGUCUCCACUUAACAGAUUGUUGGACAGAUCCAGGAAUUCAGUUUGCAAAGUCCAAUUCCAAAACCAACUUGGAACCAAGUCUGCAAUACCUGCCUUAGACAUUGUCAAAACCUUCACAGAACUUUGCCUUUUUAGCCAUUCUGGAAACUUAGGACCUAUUCCAAAGGAGCUCAGUAAAACAUAUUCAAGCUGAAAAGGAGGAACCCAUCCAGAGUUGACACUGAGGAACAAGUUUGUCCAAGACAAACGUAGUUCCUUUAAUUUCAAAAGUUUUACAAAAUUUGACUCUUUUAUAGAUCCUUCUAACAAAUUAGAUGAAAGGUCUAACAUCACUAAAUUUGAGAGAGUUCCAAGAGUUACAGGCAUAUCACCAGUCAAAGAAUUAGUUCCAAGAUUUAAUACCUGCAGGUUUCUGAGGAACUCAAAACUCUUAGGAAUGGUUCCAUUCAGUCGGUUGUGAGCCAGGUUUAAAGUUCUCAAGGAUGACAAGUUUGCAAAUGGUGAGGGAAUUGGACAAGUAAAGGUAUUAUUACUGAGAUUUAGAACUUCAAGAUGCUUAAGCUGGCCUAAUGAAUCUGGAAGUGGCCCACUGAGCUGGUUGUUCUGCAGGUCUAGAUUUUUUAUGUUCUGAAGGCUUGAUAUUAUUUGUGGAAUUUCUCCCUGUAAAAGGUUACUGUGUAAAUCAAGUUGGACAAGAGCUGUGCUGAGAUUAAAUAGCCAUGAAGGGAUUUGCUGAUUGAGAUUGUUAAUUGAAAGAUCAAGGACUUGGAGAUGUGUGAAGUUGAUUUUUCCUUUUGGUGGUCCUAAGUUAUCAAUUUGACAGCUCUCCAAGUGUAGUUCUGAAAGAGAUGGAAGUUCACUCAGUACUUGAAGCCAGUUACCUUGUUUAUGAAGGUCUGAACCACUCAAAUCAAGGUACUCUAAGGAAGAUAGCCUUGAUAUCCAAUUAAGGUUAUCUAUCUGAAGAGCAUAAUUGUAUCCAAGAUUAAGGUGCUGCAGGUUUGAGAGGUUUCCUAGUUGAUGAGGGAUUAAUCCCAUGAACCCACUUAAGCUAAGGUCCAAGUAUCUCAGACUCUCCAAUGAGCCUAGGAAGCUUGGUAUUGGAGUAAGAACAAAAUAAUUUGAACUCAAGUCCAAACGAUUCAAAUAUUUUAGUUCAAGCAAAGAAGGACUAAUCUCUCCACUCAACUCCCUAUAGGGAGAGCCCGCAGGUGUGUCAAGAUUGAUUUCCAUGACUUUACCUGUGUUGUUGCAGUGAACCCCUGGCCAUGUACAGCAAUCCGAUUUGUCAGACCAUGAUGAAAGCCUGUUUGAAGGGUCUGCUAGUCCAUGCUUGAAGCUGAGGAGUGCAUUCCUUUCCUUCUCUCUGCAAGUCAUAUUGAGCCUUGCUGCCUUGCUUGCACUGAAGUGGAGAGUUGUUGCAGUGGACAAUAUCAAGAGAAGAACAUGAGUUGCAAAUAGCACUGCCAUGAAGAAGAAGGAAGACGAAAAAGGUUGAAUCCACAAUUUUCUGGUUCACGGUUGGUAUUUACUACUAACAAUGCCAAUGCCUAUAUAGGAUAUAUACCAUAGAAGGGUUUGCAUUUAAAAUUUUAUUCCACUAAUGGUGGUGGUUGCAAAAUGCACACAUAUGUAGAGGUAUAUAUGUCUACAAGGAGACAUUUAGGAUUAAAAGUGCCUAACCACACCACCAUUAUUUUGCUCUAGUUUAUUUUAUUUUGAUUUAAUUAUCCUUUUAGUCCUUAUAGUUGUGAUAAUUUGUUUUAGUCCCUAUAGUUUAAGACAUUCAUUUUGGUUCUUAUAUUUCCAAUUUUUUUUAUCUUUUGGUCCUCGCGGGGAAGAUUCAACUCACACAUAAACAUGAACAAAAUUAAUAAAAAUAGGGAAGCAAGCUCAGGUACAAAUGAAGUGUAAUGGAGGUAUGAGACAAAGCCACUACACAUUCCAUUAUUCUUGAGUCUGCCACCGACCUCUGCAAGCUUAGCAUUUGCCAAUUGCCAUGAUGUAAUCUCCUUCUUGACAGUCUCUCAUCAAGUUGGAGUGGUAUCACAGCAUUGAACUAUGUUGGUCGUUCCAAUGGGAUGAUGGUUUUGAUUGCUGCAGAUAAAGUGUGUCAUUGUGAGUUUCUGGUCCCAUGAGUUAAACUAUAAGGACUAAAAAAAAUAUUGUCGUAACUUUAAGGGCCAAAAGGAUAAUUAAACCUUUUAUUUUUUUAUAAUUUUUUUUUACAACGGGUUAUAUAUAUGUAGCAGUUUAUUCUAAACAAUGGACUACGUGUGAAAUCUUUGAAUUCUAUGUAAGAAAUGUUAUUUCAAAUUUCUCAUCAGUCUUCAUGUCAAUGAUGACAUGCUCCAUUUGAAUUCUAUGUCUAAUUAAGCUCUCGGUCUUCCGUUUUUGCAACUUUAUUUCGUAGAAAGAAGCCAAAUUUGAAGAUACAACAUUUGAUACUAUAACUGUUUGGUGUUUUGAAAAUCUCACUGACAUAUUUCCAAAUGUUACAAUCUCCUAGCCUUUUUUACCAAGUCAGGGAAUUUGCAUUGUUGUGCAUGAUGGCUGCCACAAGCACCCUUGUGCCAACCCAUUAGUGCAAGUGGUUUUUUCUUAUGAGAAUUGAGAAACAAAUUAUAUAUGUGUUUUAUAAAGGGAAUUCUAUUAUUUUUAAUUUUGAACUUGUAAUGUUUUUUGUUUCCCUCACAGAACAAGUGAUGUGACUCUUGAUCGACGCCAUACGUACGCAUACUUUGAUGCUCUUUUUUCUCACCACUUUUAUCUUAAUGGUAUCUCAAGUUGACAAUCAUAAAUUAAAAUAGCUAACUAUAGUUGAUUAGUAGAGACAAACAGCUCAAAGAUAAAGAUCUUUAAGCCAUCAUUUUUUUUUCCUUUUCUUUUCUAUGAGCUGUCAUUUCUUAUCUCUACAUGGAAUGUCUAGAAGUUGAAAAUUACUUGAGCUUUCUUUACCUACUGCUUUCCAUUUUGGCGAACUGCUUUUCUUUCCCAUAACCAGGAAUUCAUGGGAAGUGACGUUGUGGCAGAGGACUCCAUACCAGUGGCAACAGUUGGUAUUAUUAUGAUUCCAAGACCAAAGCCUAUUGGAAGGAUCUAUGAGAUUAUUCUUAAACUUCAAAAGUGUCUCACGCUCACUUGGGAUGCACACACUCUCUCUGCAUGGUAAGCUCAACAACCAAAGCUGGACAAAGACAAGAAUAUAAAUGGAGGAAGAAUUCAUGAUCAUGCAAGAAUAUAUAGAAAACAAGUGUAGUUGUUGGUUCUGCAUAUAAAUCAUCAAACUUCUAUUAUUUAUACUGCUGCCCUGCCUGUUUUUUUCUCCACUUUCAUUAUUUUUUACCUUUUUUAUUAUUGUGCCAAAUACUAAAAUAUUCUUCCAUUCUUUUUUUUUACGGUGACCUCUUUAAAUUAUCGAUUUAAUUAUCCAAUUCUCCCGAAUUCAUUAUUUCAUUCCAAGCUAGCUAUUUAAUUUUGAUCAAUUUUUCAAUUCACAAAAUAAUAUUCUUCUUAUAUGUGAAAAAGACUAAUUAAUCUUCAUUGUCAUUAAUGAUUGUUGUGUUGUCUAUUUCUAAUUGUUUUUUUAAUCAUAAUAUUAUUUUCUUUUUAUUAAAAAUUAAUUAGUGAGAUACAAAGAAGUUUAACGUGAUCUAUCAUAAUUAUUGAGAUCAUAGUUUUUCCUUUUAUAAGUCUUGGUCCAAAUUUCUCCAUGUAUUGAAGAUUAUAUUUAACUUAAAAAGUAAAUUAGAAGAUCUACAAAGAAGUGUGACAUAUUUUUUAAAUUAUAAAAUUAUGGUCCUAGCUAUUUAUUGUUAGACCACAAGUUUUCAUAUAUUAAAGUUUUUGUCUAAAUUUCAUUUAUGGUGAUAGUUUAAGAAUAGUGAUAGAAGAGAAAAAUAAAUAUUCAAUUUAUUGAAAUAUCUAACUCAAUUAAUUGAUGAAUACAUCAAUUAUAGGAAAAGGGUGUACUUUAAAGACUAUUUCUAUUAAAAAAUCUAUAAAAAAAUUAUUUCCUUCCAAUCUAAUUAUUUAAUUUUAAUCAAUUUUUCAGUUCACAAAAUAAUAUUCUCUUAUAUAGGAAAAAAAGACUAGAUUUAAUUAUCAUCAAUUGGAAAAGUUAUUGUGUCAUGUAUUUAUAAUUGUAUUCUAACUUGAAUAUUAUUUUAUUUAUCAUAUAAAAAUUAAUUAGUUAUAUAAAAAGAAGUAAAAAGAAUAUUAACUUUUUUUCUCAAAAAAAAAAUCAGUAUCAUAUUUUAUAUUUUUUACAAGUUAUCAACUUAAAUAAGAGGAGAAACAUAAUUUUAAUUUCCAUUUUACUUUUUAAAUAAUUGCAAGUGACAAAUUUAAAUAAUCAUGAGAAUACUCACGUUCAAUAUAAUAUUUAAAAAAAAAAAAUCCAUACGAUAACUUAAACAAUCUAUAAAGAAAUAUAAUUUAUUCUUGUGCCAAAUACUAAAAUAAGAAACAUUUUUUAUUUUACUUUACCGUAUAGAAUUGCUAAAAUGAAUGAAAUUUUUAUUUUAAUAAAAUAUUAAUGAUUUUUUUAAAACUUUAAAUAGUUUACAUCAAAGAUAAUUAAAUUUGGCUUAAUUAGUCUUCAAAUUUUAACUAUUAUUCAAAUCAAUCCUUUCGUUAAACCUGUACGUGUUAAGUAAACAACAAAAAAUCUUGUCUUAUAAAAUUCAAACAUUUUAUUACAUGCGGUUUGAACCCAUAAUUAAUUUUAAACUAUCAAAUUUUAAUUAUUCAAAAUAAAAGAAAUGAAAACAAAAUUGUCUCCUAGAGAAACCGCUGACCACUCCACCAAAUUCAUAUCAAGGUCCCCACUUUUCCAACUUGAACCAUAGACUACUCCAUCAAGUCUAUGUCAAGGUCCUCCAUUUUAAGGUCCCCACUUUUCCAACUUGAACCAUAAACUACUUCAACCUUAGGACACUCCACAAAGUCCACCCAUAUUAAGGUCUCUGACUUCUUCAACUUCUGCAACGCAUAUAUAGAAAACAACUUAAUUGUAUAAGUGCUUCUUGCUUCUGCAUAUAAAUCAUAAAACUUCUAUUAUUUAUACUGCUGCAAGUGUCUUUCUUUUCUUUUUUCUUUUUUUUAUGACGUUUCCUUUCUUUAAUUAUUGACUUUAUUAUCCAAUUCUCCCGAGUUAAUUCUUAGAAUAGGAAAUAAUUUUGAAUUUACUUUAUCUAUCUCCCUUUUAAAAAUUCCUAUAUACACAAAAUUUUAUAUUGAAUUUAACUAUUAUUUAAUCUAUCCUUUCGUUAAACUUUUGUUAAUUAAACAAUAAAAGUCCAACAUUUUAUUAAAAAAAUUCAAGUCUUCUAUUUCAUGGACUCCAUCAAGUCUUUUAUUAAAAGUCCAACUUUUGUUAAUUCAAGUCUUUUACAGAAUUUUGUUAAUUCAACUUUUGUUAAUUAUUACAAAAUUUGGUAUUGAAUUUAACUAUUAUUUAAUUCAAGCCUUUUAUUAAAAGUUCAACUUUUGUUAAUUUAAAUAUUAUUUUGUUAAUUAAACCAUAGCCGACUCCAUCAUGUCUAUCUCAAGGUCCUGUAUUUUUUCAUCUUAAACCUUUGGACACUCCACAAAGUCCAGCCAUGUUAUGGUCUCUGGCUUCAACUUGAACCAUAGCCCAUAGGGCACAAACAAUAUAUUAAUGAUAAAUACAUCAAUUAUAGGAAAAGGGUCUAAUUUAAAGACUAUUUCAGUUAAAAAAUCUAUAUAAAAAAAGAUUAUUUCAUUCAUAUCUUGCUAUUUAAUUUUGAUCAAUUUUUUAAUUCACAAAAUAAUAUUCUCUUAUAUAUGAAAAAAAGACUAGAUUUAAUCGUCAUUUAAAAUGGUUGUUGUGUGAUCUAUUUCUAAUUGUAUUCAAACAUGAAUAUUAUUUUCUUUAUCAUAUAAAAAUUAAUUAGUGAUAUAAAAAGAAGUGUGAAAAAGAAUAUUAAUUUUUUUCUAAAAAAAAUUAGUAGCAUAUUUUGUAUUUUUUUACACGUCAUCAACUUAAAUAAUAGAAGAAACAUAAUUUUAAUUUCCAUUUUAAUUUUUAAAUAAUUUUAAUUACCAAAUUUAAGCAAUCAUAAAAUUUCUCAUGUUCAAUAUAAUAUUCUCAAAAAAAAAUAUUCAUAUGAUAACUUAAAUAAUAUACUAAGAAAUAUGAUUUAUUCUUAUGCAGAUCCAAUACUAAAAUAAGAAAAAAAAAUAUUUUUGAUCACAAUAUAAAAUUGCUUAAAUCAAUGAAAUUUCAUUUUAAGAAAAUAUUAAUCAUUUUUUUAAUACUUUAAAUCAAAGGUAAUUAAAUUUGGUUUAAUUAGUCUUCAAAUUUUAACUAUUAUUUAAAUCAAUCCUUUCGUUACACCUUUGUUAAGUAAAUGAUAGCAUAGCAAGCAAGGAGGUACAAGCAGUAACACUCUCACAAAGAUAAAGAUCUUUAAGCCAUCAUUUUUUUUUCCUUUUCUUUUCUAUGAACUGUCAUUUCUUAUCUCUACAUGGAAUGUCUAGAAGUUGAAAACUUGAGCUUUCUUUAACUAUACUGCUUUCCAUUUUGGCGAACUGCUUUUCUUUCUCAUAAUGAACUUUCCACUAUUCCAAUGAUGGUUCAACAUUAAUAAUUCUUUAUCUAUUUUGUCUAAAAAUUUCCAAUCACUUUUUGUGAGUGGUGUGAAUGUCAUGCAGACAAAUGAUGUUCAAGCUCCACUUUUUCCAUUCAUUGCAAGUUGUAAGCAGAAUGUAGAAUGUACGUAUAAUAAAAUAAUGAGAAUGCCAACUACUAGUACGUAGUACUUAAUUAAAACAAAAGUAUCAAAAUUAGAACGAAAAUAAAUUUGAUGCUGUUAAUACAUGAGUUUAAUUUUGAUACACAGUGUAAAAAUUUAAAUUGUUAAUUAAUUAGAAAUCACCUAAUGAUUUGUAAAACAAUUACUAAAAAAAGUUUCAUUUGAAACUUAGUCUUCCACCCGUCUCAAGCUCUCCACAUGAACACUAAGCUCUUGACAAAAAUAAAUAAAUAAAUAAAUAACCACGAGAAAUAAUAUAUAACUCUUUAGUGGACAAUUGGUGUUCUUUUGUGCAUUCAGUUGAAGGAAGUUCCCAGAAUGGUAGAAAGCAAGGGACAGAUGAAACGGCCACAGCUAAGAAUAGUGCAUCUUAUAUCGGGAAGAGAUUGUUAGAAAGUUUGGUUGCAGUUGCAGGGCUUCUAAUUUGGCUUUCAUGAGCAUUACUCAAAUACUACCUAUAUAUUACCACUUUCAUAUCACAAAAUGUGUUGCCUUAUAAAAUUCAAAUAUUCUAUUAUUACUUGCAGUUUGAACCCAUAAUUAAUUUUAAAAUAUCAAUUUUUUAUUAUUCCAAAUAAAAGAAAUGAAAACAAAAUUGUCUAGUCUCCUAGACAAACCACUUCCCACUCCACCAAAUUCAUAUCAAGGACCCCACUUUUUCCACUUGAACCAUAGACUACUCCAUCAAGUCCAAGUCAAUGUCCUUCAUUUUUUCAUCUUGAACCUUAGGACACUCCACAGCCAACCAUAUUUAGGUCUCUAUCUUCUUCAACAUGAACCAUAGGUCACUACAUUACCUUCAUAUCAAGUUCCUUAUCAUUGACAACAAAUGUUUAGAAUUAAGUAAGCAAGGAAAAAAAUUAUAAAUGAUGAAUACAUCAAUUAUAGGAAAAUGAUCUAAUUUAAAGACUAUUUCGGUUAAAAAAUCUAUAUAAAAAAAGACUCUUUCGUUUCAAUCUAACUAUUUAAUUUUGAUCUAUUUUUUAAUUUACAAAAUAAUAUUAUUCUUAUAUGUGAAAAAAAACUAAUUUUCAUUGUCAUUAAUCGGAAAGAUUGUUGUGUCGUCUAUUCUAAUUGUAUCUUAGCCUGAAUAUUAUAUUCUUUUUCAUUAAAAAUUAAUUAGUAAGAUACAAAGAAGUGUAAAAUGCUUGUUUAACUUGGUCUACCAUAAUUAUUGAGAUCAUAACUUUUUUCUUUUAUAAGUCUUGGUCCAAAUUUCUCCAUAUAUUGUAGAUCAUAUUUAGCUUAAAAAGUAAAUUAGAGGAUAUGAUAUACCAAGAAGUGUGACAUGUUUUUUUAAAUUAUUUAUCUAUGGCCUUAGCUAUUUUAUUGUUAGACCACAAGUCUUCAUAUAUUAAAGUCUUUGUCUGAAUUUCAUUUACUUGUGUGGUGAUAUUUUAAGAAUAGUGAUAGAAGAGAAAAAUAAAUAUAUAAUUUAUUGAAAUAUCUAACUUAUGAAGAUUUGCAUUCUUAAUGCAUAAGCUUUUCAGUUUAUAUAUUAUCAUUAUUUGGAAAUAUUAAUUUGUUGUGUUAAUUGUCUAUUUCUAAUUAAUUUGAAAAUGAAUCUUAAUUUUUUAUCAUAAAAAUUAGUAUCAUAUUUUUUAUUUUCUUUACAAGUUAUCAACUUAAAUACUAAUAGGAGCAACAUAAUUUUAAUUUCCAUUUUAUUUUUUAAAUAAUUUUAAGUGUCAAAUUUAAGCAAUCAUAAAAAUACUCACGUUCAAUAUAAUCUUUUUAAAAAAUAAUUCAUGAGAUCACUUAAAUAAUCUACAAAAAAAUAUAAUUUAUUCUUGUGCCAAAUAAACAACAAAAGAAGUCUUGCAUUAUUAAAUUCAAGUCUUCUAUUACAUGAAAUUUGAACCUAUAACUAAUUUUAAAUGAUCAAAUUUUUAGUAUUCAAAAUAAAAGAAAAGAAAAAAAAAUUGUCUUCUAGACAAACCACAGACAACUCCACCAAAUCCAUAUCAAGGUCCCCACUUUUUCAACUUGAAUCAUAGGCCACUCCAUCAAAUCUAUGCCAAAGUUUCUUAUCAUUGACAACAAAUGUUGAGAGUUAAGUCAAGCAUGAAAAAAAAUAGGGUAAAAUAUAUCAUUUCUAUCCCUAUAAAAUUUUAAUGUGCUACUUUUUUUUUUUAUCCUGAGUUAAGUUUGGAUGAUAGAUAAUUAUCAUGUAUUCUUAGAUUUUGGUGUCAUUUUAGGAUAUUUAUGUGAUAUAUGUCUUUUAUGCUUUUUUAUUGUCAUGAACUAAUCUUCUCUUUUGUUGGAGUUGAAUAUAAUUGGUUCAUUUUUCAUGUAAUGACUAUUUUUUUAUUGAAUAAAGCAUUCUAAUUGUUUCUCUUCUAUGUUUAAUAUGUGUUUUUGGCUUAAUCACCUUGUUUGUAUGAUUUUUUUUAUUCAAUUGUAAUUAAAAAAUUCUUUGAACUACGAAUUGCAAAAAACACCUAAUAAUUUUUAUGUCUAGGAAUAAGAUAAAAAGAAUUGAGCAUCAAUAAACACUUUAUCUUAAUGAAAAUCAUUUAGUUAUAUUAAUUUAAGGGAUUGAUAGUGUAAUCAAGGGAUUUAGGUCUCUUCACUAGGAAUUAAAGUGAAGAUAAUAUGAUGGGUUUAUGAUAAUAUAACCUUUAUUAAAUAUGAAUGUGUAGUUAUUAGGUGAUAGAAACUUCAAUGAAAUUAAACGCCAACAAUUUUUUCAUUGAUUUAACCCCAACAAUUACAUGGGGUGUUUGUUAAAAUUCCCAAACAAUUUUUUUUCCUUAAUUUUUUUCUUUUAUUUUCUUCUUUAGUUUUCUUAUUUUUAUUUCUUCCUUUAAUUUCUUUAUCUUUAUGCAUAUUGUUAUUUAAAUCAAAUUAGCUAAUGUUAAUUAAUUUCAAAUAUUCAUAGUAUAGAAAUUAUACUUUUUAUUACCCAAUUUUAUUACCCAAUUAUUGCCUAAGUCCUGUUAAUGAGUAUUAUAGAAAAAAUGCACGAAUAGCGAGAGAAGGAAGAUGUGGAAGGGUUUAGAAACUGCAGAAUCCUAUGCAAGCUCCAACUUUCUACACUAAUUAAAUUCAUUCAGGCAAAUUCUAAGUUACACGUUGCGUAAAACAAUCUUCUUAAAUCCAAUCACCGAGUGUGUCAUUCCAGGUAUUUUAAUGCUAAUCAUUGUUAGUGCACAGAUAGUAGAAGACAAUAAUGCGUCAUAAAUACAAAACAGAAUUUGAUGCUCAAGUCUGAAGCUCGUCUAGUUCUCUUAACAUUAAGAACAUUUAUUACCAAUGAAAGCAAAACAAACAGACACCCCAUACGAACAUGUACAUAGUAUGGUAAACCUUUUCACAUUUUUAAUGGCUAGACUAACACGUUGUAAUGUCUCUCACUCCUAACAGUUAACAUGUAAACUCACAAUUUCCCAAGUAACCUUCUUACCUUCAAAACUAUUAUCACAUAAAUCAGAUCUCUCAAGUGGUCAAGAUAAUGAAAAUAAGCACGCCUCCAAGUUCUGUUGAAGAAAACAACACUGCAAAACCCCCAAAAUCCUGCUGCAAAUCCAACUCCCAUACCCAUAUAAAACUCUGAUGUUCCAAAGAAAUUACCAUCACCGUGUCAAACAGAAGCAGUCUCUGUCAACUCUUCCUUGUCUGUGCAAUUUUUUGUUACAGGAGGACCACAAAGCUCAGGAUUUCCAGUGUAGCUAAGUUCUUCAAAGCUCUGAAGUUGGGUGCUCGUGGGAAUUCUGCCUGAUAAGUUGUUGUAUGAUAGAUUCAGGACACUGAGGAAGGACAAAUCAGAUAAACUUUGAGGGAUUUGACCUGAAAUGUUGUUUAGUGAGAGAUCAAGGGAUUCUAACAAUUUCAUUUUUCCCAUGUCAUUUGGUAUCCCUCCAGACAGAUGAUUUCUAGACAAGUUCAAAAACCGCAAAGCAGAUAGCUUGGAAAUUUCAGAUGGAAUUGCUCCAGACAGCUUAUUACUUGAAAGAUCAAUCAUUCUCACCAAUAUCAAAUUGUCUCUGUACUCUAACUCAUCUCCUUUGGGAACUAAGACAAGAGUUUCCUUGUAGUGGUUAUAACUGAAGUCAGAGCCAUAUGAAUAACUUGAAGGGUUUGCAAAGAAGUCAUCUUCACCAGCCAUUGUUUUCAUGUCAUCCAAACAAUUUGGAAUGGAUCCUGACAGGCUGUUAUUGCCAAGAUCCAGCACUAUAAGGGAAGAAAGUUGACAAAUCUUUUCAGUGAAUGCUGCCAUUGAAAUUGUUGGAUCUUAGACGAAGAACCAUUAGAUAUUGCAUUUCCCACAUCCAAUCUGGUAUUGUGUCAGAAAGUUGGUUAUUGCCCAUGUCAAUGAAUUUCAUUGUAGAGCAAUUUUGCAGUGUUGAAGGAAUAUAUCCAGAGAAGCGGUUGUCGUCUAACAACAAAGACUCAAGUUGAGAUAGAUACCCCAUGGAGUUUGGAAUAACACCAGACAAAUUGUUACUACCCAAGUUCAAAUGCACCAAAGCUUGCCAAUGCACCCAACAGUGACCAAGAUCACCAGAUAAGACAUUAUUUGAAAAAUCAAGCACACUUAAAUUAUUAGUAGCAUUUUCCUUUCCACAUAAAAAGGGAGAAAUUGUUCCGGAAAUUGAGUUAUUGGCAACAUUCAGCACUUCAACAUUUGCAGACACACUUGGCAAUGUACCCUUGAACAAAUUAGAACUCAAAUUUAUGAGGCUGGAAUUGAGAAAGAUGUUAGAUAGGUCUCCACUUAACAGAUUGUUGGACAGAUCCAGGAAUUCAGUUUGCAAAGUCCAAUUCCAAAACCAACUUGGAACCAAGUCUGCAAUACCUGCCUUAGACAUUGUCAAAACCUUCACAGAACUUUGCCUUUUUAGUCAUUCUGGAAACUUAGGACCUAUUCCAAAGGAGCUCAGUAAAACAUAUUCAAGCUGAAAAGGAGGAACCCAUCCAGAGUUGACACUGAGGAACAAGUUUGUCCAAGACAAACGUAGUUCCUUUAAUUUCAAAAGUUUUACAAAAUUUGACUCUUUUAUAGAUCCUUCUAACAAAUUAGAUGAAAGGUCUAACAUCACUAAAUUUGAGAGAGUUCCAAGAGUUACAGGCAUAUCACCAGUCAAAGAAUUAGUUCCAAGAUUUAAUACCUGCAGGUUUCUGAGGAACUCAAAACUCUUAGGAAUGGUUCCAUUCAGUCGGUUGUGAGCCAGGUUUAAAGUUCUCAAGGAUGACAAGUUUGCAAAUGGUGAGGGAAUUGGACAAGUAAAGGUAUUAUUACUGAGAUUUAGAACUUCAAGAUGCUUAAGCUGGCCUAAUGAAUCUGGAAGUGGCCCACUGAGCUGGUUGUUCUGCAGGUCUAGAUUUUUUAUGUUCUGAAGGCUUGAUAUUAUUUGUGGAAUUUGUCCCUGUAAAAGGUUACUGUGUAAAUCAAGUUGGACAAGAGUUGUGCUGAGGUUAAAUAGCCAUGAAGGGAUUUGCUGAUUGAGAUUGUUAAUUGAAAGAUCAAGGACUUGGAGAUGUGUGAAGUUGGCUUUUCGUUUUGGUGGUCCUAAGUUAUCAAUUUGACAGCUCUCCAAGUGUAGUUCUGAAAGAGAUGGAAGUGCACUCAGUACUUGAAGCCAGUUACCUUGUUUAUGAAGGUCUGAACCACUCAAAUCAAGGUACUCCAAGGAAGAUAGCCUUGAUAUCCAAUUAAGGUUAUCUAUCUGAAGAGCAUAAUUGUAUCCAAGAUUAAGGUGCUGCAGGUUUGAGAGGUUUCCUAGUUGAUGAGGGAUUAAUCCCAUGAACCCACUUAAGCUAAGGUCCAAGUAUCUCAGACUCUCCAAUGAGCCUAGGAAGCUUGGUAUUGGAGUAAGAACAAAAUAAUUUGAACUCAAGUCCAAACGAUUCAAAUAUUUUAGUUCAAGCAAAGAAGGACUAAUCUCUCCACUCAACUCCCUAUAGGGAGAGCCCGCAGGUGUGUCAAGAUUGAUUUCCAUGACUUUACCUGUGUUGUUGCAGUGAACCCCUGGCCAUGUACAGCAAUCCGAUUUGUCAGACCACGAUGAAAGCCUGUUUGAAGGGUCUGCUAGUCCAUGCUUGAAGCUGAGGAGUGCAUUCCUUUCCUUCUCGCUGCAAGUCAUAUUGAGCCUUGCUGCCUUGCUUGCACUGAAGUGGAGAGUUGUUGCAGUGGACAAUAUCAAGAGAAGAACAUGAGUUGCAUAUAGCACUGCCAUGAAGAAGAAGGAAAACGAAAAAGGUUGAAUCCACAAUUUUCUGGUUCACGGUUGGUAUUUACUACUAACAAUGCCUAUAUAGGAUAUAUACCAUAGAAGGGUUUGCAUUUAAAAUUUUAUUCCACUAAUGGUGGUGGUUGCAAAAUGCACACAUAUGUAGAGGUAUAUAUGUCUACAAGGAGACAUUUAGGAUUAAAAGUGUCUAACCACACCACCAUUAUUUUGCUCUAGUUUAUUUUAUUUUGAUUUAAUUACCCUUUUAGUCCUUAUAAUUGUGAUAAUUUUUUUUAGUCUCUAUAGUUUAAGACAUUCAUUUUGGUUCUUAUAUUUACAAUUUUUUUUAUCUUUUGGUCCUCGAGGGGAAGAUUCAACUCACACAUAAACAUGAACAAAAUUAAUAAAAAUAGGGAAGCAAGCUCAGGUACAAAUGAAGUGUAAUGGAGGUAUGAGACAAAGCCACUACACAUUCCAUUAUUCUUGAGUCUGCCACCGACCUCUGCAAGCUUAGCAUUUGCCAAUUGCCAUGAUGUAAUCUCGUUCUUGACAGUCUCUCAUCAAGUUGGAGUGGUAUCACAGCAUUGAACUAAGUUGAUCGUUCCAUGGGAUGAUGGUUUUGAUUGCUGCAGAUAAAGUGUGUGAUUGUGAGUUUCUGGUCCCAUGAGUUAAACUAUAAGGAUUAAAAAAAAUAUUGUCAUAACUUUAAGGGCGAAAAAGAUAAUUAAACCUUUUAUUUUUUUUAACAACGGGUUAUAUAUAUGUAGCAGUUUAUUCUAAACAAUGGACUACGUGUGAAAUCUUUGAAUUCUAUGUAAGAAAUGUUAUUUCAAACUUCUCAUCAGUCUUCAUGUCAAUGAUGACAUGCUCCAUUUGAAUUCUAUGUCUAAUUAAGCUCUCGGUCUUCGUUUUUGCAACUUUAUUUCGUAGAAAGAAGCCAAAUUUGAAGAUACAACAUUUGAUACUAUAACUGUUUGGUGUUUUGAAAAUCUCACUCACAUAUUUCCAAAUGUUACAAAAGAAUUUGAUUCAGUGGUUAUUACGAAUUCCUUCCUAGCCUUUUUUACCAAGUCAGGGAAUUUGCAUUGUUGUGCAUGAUGGCUGCCACAAGGACCCUUGUACCAACCCAUUAGUGCAAGUGGUUUUUUCUUAUGAGAAUUGAGAAACAAAUUAUAUGUGUUUUAUUAAGGGAAUUCUAUUAUUUUUAAUUUUGAACUUGUAAUGUUUUUUGUUUCCCUCACAGAACAAGUGAUGAAACUCUUGAUGAUCGACGCCAUACGUACGCCUACUUUGAUGCUCUUUUUUCACACCACUUUUAUCUUAAUGGUAUCUCAAGUUGACAAUCAUAAAUUAAAAUAGCUAACUAUAGUUGAUUAGUAGAGACAAACAGCUCAAAGAUAAAGAUCUUUAAGCCAUCAUUUUUUUUUCCUUUUCUUUUCUAUGAGCUGUCAUUUCUUAUCUCUACAUGGAAUGUCUAGAAGUUGAAAAUUACUUGAGCUUUCUUUACCUACUGCUUUCCAUUUUGGCGAACUGCUUUUCUUUCUCAUAAUGAACUUUCCACUUCCAAUGAUGGUUGAACAUUAAUAAUUCUUCAUCUAUUUUGUCUAAAAAUUUCCACUCACUUUUUUUAGUGGUGUUAAUGUCAUGCAGACAAAUGAUGUCCAAGCUCCACUUUUUCCAUUCAUUGCAAGUUGCAAGCAGAAUGUAGAAUGUACGUAUAAUAAAAUAAUGAGAAUGGCAACUGCUAUAAGUACUACUUAAUUAGAACAAAAGUAUCAAAAUUAAAACGAAAAUAACUUUGAUGCUGUUAAUAUAUGAGUUUAAUUUUGAUAGAUAGUGUAAAAAUUUAAAUUGUUUAUUAAUUAGAAAUCACCAAAUGAUUUGUAAAACAAUUAGUAAAAAAGUUAUAAGAAAUAUAUAUAUAAUUAAUUAAUUGCAAAUGAAAGUGUAUUUAAAUUAAAUUCUUAAUUAACAUAUCCUUAUUGUGAUAUUUUGUAUAUUUUUUAUUUAAUUGAGACAGUGGAAUGAGACCGCACUAUAAUUUUCAUCACGGGUUGUAUUGUCUAAUAUAAUAGGGAUGGUUGGUGAGGAAUUUUGGAAUGUUAGUUGGUUUUAGACUAUAUAUCCUCUUGUUCAGUUUUCACAUUCUCAUUAGAGUUAAGUUGCUUUUGGGGAAGAACCAAUGUCUUGAAAUUCCCUCUUCACCAGAAGCAGUUUUAUUGUGUCUUUAUCGAAGUCAUCUUCUCCAGAGACUUGCCUUUAACUUUGAAGAUAGGAAAUAGAUCAGUCAAACAUUGUUUCAGUUUAUUUGGAUUUUAUUUUAAGGACAUGUGAUUUACAAAGACUUCUUACAACUCACAACCUUUGGAAUUUCUCUAUGCCUGGUUAACCCACAAUUUCUGGCGCCUGUUGCGGUUAGGAACAUAGGCUAGCAAAAACACUAAUCAUUUCAAGAGAAAUGUUAACACACUUUUCUAAUAUAUUAUUUUUUAUAUUAAAAUUUAUUAAAAUAAAAAAUUCAGCUGAUCUCAUAUUUUAUUUAGCAAAUUUUUCCCAUAUAUUAAGUCUUAGGUUUUUAAAAUUAUAAAGCUAAAACUAAAAUGUUUUACUAAAUGUAUUUUAAAGUAAAUUUUACACACAAAAAUAUUAUGAUUUUAUAAAAAUUGUUUGGUCAAGGGAGACAUAUUGAGCCAUAGAAAUACUAAGUUAUGGGCAAGAUUUUGAUAUACUAUAACCUUAAUUUUUACAAUAAACCUAAAUGUCUAAAUAUCAUAACUCAACCAUGCGACGAAAUGACAAUGUGUUAAUUUUGUUGUGUCCUCAACCAUGCGUAUGCCUCAGGCCGAGGGAAUUCUCACACACCACUCCUAACAAUUUCUAAGGAAUUCCACAACGUGUCUAUGCUUCAGACAACAAUAACGUACCAAAUAAACAAGUAGCAUCUAAUAAUGUUAAAAUAAGCACACAUAUAUCGAGCCAACCAACGUUGGAGGUAGAAGAACAACAAUAAUAUCAAUAUUUAAUUUCAUUUAGUGUUAAUUUAUUCGGAACUCAACGUAAAAUAACAAUUUAAUAGAAAACAAACAGAGUAUUUAUUAAGAAUAAAAAUAUAUUUAAUUUCAUUUAGUGUUUAAUAGUGUUUUGGUCUAUGUUUUUUUUUUUGUUUUUUUAUAGUUAUUUCUUUUCAAAUUUGAUGACAACAUUGUCAUUGGGUCCUUCUACCCUUCACAUCAGCAAAUUGGACACUAAAGAGACUCGGUCAGAAACAAAUAACUACUAGGGGUACAAUAACAUGAGAGGAUUUAACACUUUUGGAGUAGGAAAAUGUACUUUAAGAAAAGAAAAUUAUAUGUUUAUCCAUGAACACUAAGCUCUAGAGAAAAAAAAAACCACGAGAAAUAGUAUAUAACUCUUUAGUGGACAAUUGGUGUUGUACAAAAUUGAAAUGAUCCAGACUAAGUCAACAAACUGGUCUUCUUCAUUGAACUCACAGUGAAACCACAGAAUUUAUUUUCAUCUGCUAGUUUCCUUCCCAAUUCCCAUGUUUUCUAAAACAUAACACACUACAGAACCUUCUAAUAAAUUAAAACAAAAAAAUCAAUAUUUUACAUGUAGCACCACAACCUAACAAUUUCUACCUACAACUUUUUCUAUAGACUAUAAUAUAAUCUAUCUCCACUCAAUCAUUCAUCAAGAUUGAAAAAUGGAUUCAAAUGCUUGUCUACCACACUUGCUAGUGUUAGCAAUAACAUUGGUAUUGGUUAGUCAUGCAAUGGGAGAUUCAGCUAAAGACAAGUGUUGUCUCUUUGCCUUUUAAGUUGUACAUAGUUGCAAAACAGGUAUAUGUGAAAGAAUAAUGCUUAUUAAAGGUAAGGUUGAUUUUAAAGUGGGCAUGCAAGAAUGCAUUCAUUAUCUCAAGUAAAUAAAUUCAAGCGAAUAUCUGAUUUGGAUUAGAGAAUAGUAUUAUCCAGUGCACACUAAAUUGGAGAGAUUCCCAACAUGUGGUUUCAAAACUAAAAGUACUUACCAACUAUUUGAAUUUUAAUCUACGUGAUCUAGCUAAUGUUUUCUAUCAGAGAAUUACAACUAGUUGAUCUUAAGAACAAAACUAUACUAAAUAUGCAAAUCUUUACAUCUAAAAACAGAAUUUAAAUAAGGCUCUCAAAUUUGAAGAAAAAAAAGAAGAUAGCAAUGACUACAAAUUGAUCAAUCUGCCAAUACAAUGAUAAAACAUCGGUUUAUUCUAAGCAACACUAAAAAGGGAUACUACAUUAGCAAAAAGAUUGAAAUUAUUGACCAUGCAGUAUGAAUGUACAGCAUUAUUUAUUUAAUUUUUCUAAUACGAUUUUAUUUUAUAUUAAUACAAAAACUCUCACAAAACAACUUCUUAACUACUAGUUAAUUACUACUUUUAUACAUAAAAAAACUAGUUAAUUACUACUGCUACAUAGCAGAAAUUCCUUAAUUCUUCGAGAAUUAUAUUCCUUAAUUUCACGUGGUUUGCCUCAGUUGUUUGCCGCAGGUUUCAGUAUAUCCUUAGGAAUCGUCGAUUGUCAAAUCGUUGUUAAAUAACGGCGCUAUAUAUAAUUUUAGUAUUUUGACGUUUUUAAAUGAAUUUCUUAUUUAUGAUUAUAUAUUUACAAUUUUUAAUUUCACUUAAAAAAAAGAGUUUUUUUGGAUUUACAGAGAAAAAAAAUAGAGUUUUUAGUUAACACACUGUUACUAUAUAGUGCGGAGACAAUUACCCCACAAGCUUUUCAUUAACUUGUCAUAAUAUAAUAUAUGUGAAUACAAACUGUCCCUAUAAUUUAAAAUAAAAUAAAUGAAAAGUCAAUAACUUUAUAAGUAUUGUCUCCACACAUAUAUAUUAUCCUAUAACUUACAAUUUUAAUAUUUAUUAUUGAUAUUCUUAAUUAACUAAGUAAAAAUAUUUUUUUUAUAAUUUUUAAGAUAAUUAUUAUAAAUAUUAAUAAAUUUAUUAUAAAUAACAUUUUUAUAUGUGUAAGUGCAUGUAUAUUAUUUAUUGAAAUAUUUUAUUUGAAUUUUUCAUUAAAAAUACUAAAUUUAUUAACAUGAUAUGUGCCUCGUUAGAGCAGUGGUUUAAUUAAAUUGGAUAGUGAGAACUGAAUUGACGACAGAUUCUCUUUCCAUAUGUGAUGAAAGAGUUGUACGAAAUCUUUAUGACAUCAACCCCCAACAUGAGUGGCCCAGUGGACAAGCCCAUCAAUCUAACAUGUCGGUUGAUAGCACUUGCAUAAACUUUUGUUCCUUGCAUCAUCUCAUGUGUCUCCAUUCUCCAUUCUCUGCUUCCACUCACGAUUAAACCUUAUUGAUUAGGGUUCAAUGAUUUUUCAAUGAAUAAAAUUAAUUUUGAAUUCUUGAUUCUAACAGCUCACGUAUAGUCUGUUGAAUCAAAUGGAUUAGACUCUUGAUAUCAUAAAGAAAAUUAAAAUUUGAUUCUUUGUGUAAAAUAAAGAAAUCUAAUUAAUUAUGCUUGUUAUGUUACUAUAUCAUUUUUCCGGUGUGGAAUAACAUCAAAAUCAAAGUAAUAAAGUUACUUGCAUGUUACUCUAACCAUAAUUCCAGUUAAGUCGAAUAUGGUUUCAUGUUUUGUAAAACAAUUUAGAUCCCCUUUAUCAAAGUGUGUCUGUCUUCUACACAAGUUUUUUCACUUUAUUCUAUUUCCCCAGAAUCAAUUGUUGUGUUAUUCAUGCUAUUAAAUUAGUUCGAUAACUACCAUGUCGAUCAUUGUUAGUUUUGUUUCCACCAUUGUUGGGAAUACGUAUAUACUAUUACUUUAUGAUUAAACGUGUUACUUAAAUUGCAGAAAAAAACUCUUUAUAAUGAAGUACAAUUGUUUAUAACUACAACAAUUAUAUUGAGUCAAUUUAACACUCAUCAAAGGCAGAAAAGCUUUACUUUAAGAUUAGACAGAGGCUCAUACCAAUCAUGGCGGUGGUUAUAAUUAGACACAUCAGCAACUGUAAAAGAUCUUGCACGGCCACAGAAAAAAAAAAUGCUUGAUGCACAUCUGAUAAACUCACUCAAGGUCUAUGUAUUAAUAGUGUAAAAGAGAGACUGAAUAUUAAAUGAUAAAAAUAUAAAAUAAUUGUUUUGUAUUGGCAGAGUACACAUAUAUAUGCCCAAAUGUAGAUUCAAAGUUCAAACAUUUUGGGACUAGAUCAUCCCUCCUAGUCAUAGCCAUCUGAAUUGGAUCGACCCCACCCCAAGGUUUGUGUUGCAUCACUUGCAUGCAUUCACCCACCACUGUUGUUGUUAUAGUUUUCUCGUGAUUUUUGUAUUGGAAAAUACUAUGGACAAAUAUAAUUGAUACAGUCAUAAUUAAUUAUUGUCAUGUUGCAAUUACAAAGACUCCUCAAAGAAAAUGUUUAGUAAAUCAUGAUCAAGUAGAAAUUGCAAUGGCAAACUGUUUUUUAAAAUCUUAUUAGUCAGUUGUAUAAACCCAAAUUUAGUUAUAUCCAGGUAUGUAAUAUUUGCCAUUUUAGUGCUCUGUUUGGAAAUUUGCGUGUCGAAUUGUUUUUUUUAUACGUACCUACACAACACUCUUUAGCCAAAUACCACUGUUCAUGGAAAAAUCUGUCCUGAAAGGAGUAUAGAACCAGAAACAAUAUGCGUGGUGGUAUCUAUCAUUCUGAAAAAGAAAAAAAGUGGGAUUCUUACAAUAGUAGGACUGUGACACUACUAGAAAAAUCUAUGCACCUUUGAUGUCCCUAAAUUUAUGAACAAAAGAUUCAGGUGUCGUUUAUUGAAUUUGUUUUAUAUGGAGUGUAAAGUCAUAUUCAAUACUAAUAAGUGUAUGUUUAUAUAAUUCUUUUUAAAAUAAUUACUCUUCUUUAUUUACAUCUAAUAAAAAUGUUAUCACAUUAAAAUUUUUAAAAUAAGCUAAAUGAAGCAUGUUUCAUAAGAAAUUAACUUUUACUGUAAUUGAUACAUUUUUUAGUGACAAAGGGAGAUGGGUGAAGACGGUGAAGGAAAAAAAAAUGAAGAUAAUGUCUAUGUUGUUCAAAUAACAGUAUUAAUUGUAUUAAAAUAGUUAAUAUUAAAAAAUAUAUUAGUAAAUAUAACAUUGUUGUGUUGGUGCUAUUUAUUGUGCAUCAAAAUAUGUAAAAAUAAUAAUUAACUUAUAAUUUGUAUAGUUGGUAUGGGUUGUUUUAUCUAUCCUGGAUUUUGUUGAAUCACACAUAUAAUCAUUUAUAUAUAUAUAUGGGCUACUAUUGUCACUACCAAAAAUGCUAUGGAGACUACCAAAGCAUUUGAAAUUACUUGGUUAUCCUUAGUUCCAAUUCCCCACACCUCCUAUCCUUCCCCUCCUUACGUUCAGCUACUCUCCUUCUUUACAUACAAAAACAGAAUUUAAAUAAGGCUCUCAAAUUUGAAAAAAAAAAGAAGAUAGCAAUGACUACAAAUUGAUCAAGCUGCCAAUACAAUGAUAAAACUUCGGAGUAUUCUAAGCAACACUAAACAGUGAUACUACCUAAGCGAAAAGAUUGAAGUUUGAACCACACAUGAUCAAGGAAAUGAAAAUAGGCAUACCGCCAUGAUCUACAAAUCAGCAAAGGAGCAAUCACUAUCCAGAAUCCCACAAUAAAUCCAAUUGUCAUACUGACAAAAAACCAAUUCACUCCAUGCCCAUCACUUCCUUCAUAACUAUGGGUUUUCCCAUUGGAGCUGCAGUUUAUGGGCAGUGGUGGACCACAUAGAUUGUUGCCGAUGAAGCUGGAGGCAUCAAAGGUUUGCAAUUGAGUUCCUGUUGGAAUAUUUCCCUUCAAAUGAUUGUAUGACAAGUCUAGCAUGCUCAGAAAGCUCAAAUUUGCAAUGCUUGGAGGGAUUUCACCAAAAAGUUGAUUCCUCGAAAAAUCAAUGGACUGUAAUGAUCUCAUAUUACCUAUACCUUGUGGAAUAUGACCAAUCAAUUGGUUGUGGGACAUGUUUAAAAAAUUCAAUCCAUUUAGAUAUGUGAUUUCUCUUGGUAUUUCCCCAAAUAACUUGUUACUUGACAGAUCAAUGCUUGUUACCAAACCCAGAAUGUUUCUGUACUCAUCUCCUCUUCCUUUCAGCCAUAGUAGCACACUAACUAUACUUUCCAUCGACGUACCAUGUUUUCCUUGAGAAUAGAUACGAGGAUCUGUACUUUGGUUCUUUAGUGUCAUGGCACUCAAGUUACUGAAACAGCUCGGUAUAUUGCCAGACAGAUUGUUUUGUGCAAGGUCUAAAACCUGAAGAUGACUCAUCUGACAUAUUUCACUUGGAAUGUGUCCGGCAAAUCUGUUUGAUCGAAGGCGGAGGAUUUUCACAUUUAGAUAGGUUUGUAUAACUCAAAUAAAGAUAGACCAAAUUGGAGAGAUUCCCAAUCUGAGAUGGAAUCUUCCCCAUGAAUCCAGUAUAAGAGAGGUCGAGGUGAGUAUUCCCGAGAGCAAGUUGUNNNNNNNNNNNNNNNNNNNNNNNNNNNNNNNNNNNNNNNNNNNNNNNNNNNNNNNNNNNNNNNNNNNNNNNNNNNNNNNNNNNNNNNNNNNNNNNNNNNNGGGAAGUUCCCAACAAAAUGGUUGCUUUGUAAAUUCACGUCCACUAGAAAUGGCCAAUUAAUCCAACAAUCAGGUAUUUCUCCUGACAGAUUAUUUGAUGCAAGAUUGAGAAAUUCUAAUUGCAUUGGCUUGUCCUGAUUGUUACAUAAAAAAUCUUGCAUGGAUUCAGAGAAAGAGAUACCAAUUUAGAGAGUGAUCGAAGACUUUCAAAUGGAUUUCCAAUGAAUUUAUUCAUAGAGAGAUCGAGAUAUCUUAAUGAUGAAAGUUUUCCAAAUGAUCUAGGAAGAGCACCACCAAUUGAGUUGUUGGAAAAAAGUAACGUGUCAAUAUUUUUAAAUGCCCCAAUAUGAUCUGUCAGAUUGCCUGAAAGUCGUGAACUCUGAACUGCAAGUGUUGUGAGUCCAUGGGAAAUACAAGGAGCAAGAAUUUCUAAAAGUUCAUUAACCUGUUGGUUGAGUUUGAGAUAUGAUAAAUCUAUCACCCUUAAGUUGCAGAGAUUACCCAAAGAAGUUGGAAUGUUUCCUUCAAGUUGAUUACCUGAUAAAUCAAGUUCAACAAGAGAAGUCAAAUUUCCCAAAGAAGUUGGAAUGUUUCCUUCAAGUUGAUUACCUGAUAAAUCAAGUUCAACAAGAGAAGUCAAAUUUCCCAAAGAAGUUGGAAUGUUUCCUUCAAGUUGAUUACCUGAUAAAUCAAGUUCAACAAGAGAAGUCAAAUUUCCCAAAGAAGUUGGAAUGUUUCCUUCAAGUUGAUUACCUGAUAAAUCAAGUUCAACAAGAGAAGUCAAAUUUCCCAAAGAAGUUGGAAUGUUUCCUUCAAGUUGAUUUCGUGAUAAAUCAAGUUCAACAAGAGAAGUCAAAUUUCCCAGGGCAUCAGAAAUAGUCCCAUGCAAGUUGGUUUCCCCUAGGUUGAGGAACUUGAGACGAUGAAGACCGUAUAAGCAAUUAGGUAUAGAAGAUGAAAAUGAAUUGAAAGACAAGUCAAGAUUUUGAAGAUGUGUGAGGUUUCGAAUACCACAAGGAAUCGGACCUUGGAUUUGAAAAUUAUAUGAUAAUUGAAGAGAAACAAGUUUCUUCAAUUUGAAUAUCCACUUGGGGACAAAAGAAAUGGCAGGGGAAUAACUAGUUAAGGAAAGAUGGAGAGUUUGCAGAGAUGAGAAGUUGAGCAAGGAUGGUUCAUUAUAGUGAGGGAGUAAGGAUCGUGACAAAUAUAGGUGGGUCAAAGAAGGAAGAGAUUGGAGAGUGUGUAGCCAAUGAAAUGCUUUGGAUAGGUUUGCACUACUCAAAUCAAGAUAUUCAAGCUUCCACAUACUUGAUACCCAUUCUACAUUUUCAGCAAACAGAAAUCCGAGAUCAGUCAAAUAACCUCCGAGGUCAAGGUAGACCAAAUUGGAGAGAUUCCCAAUCUGAGGAGGAAUCUUCCCCGUGAAUCCAGUAUAAGAGAGGUUGAGGUGAGUCAAGGAAGUCAUUGUCCCAAGGAAAGAAGGAAUUGAC
RNAcentral lists this long non-coding RNA (38598 nucleotides) under Glycine max (soybean). Its description in RNAcentral is "long non-coding RNA (GMAX_LNC003765)". The record is from RNAcentral. Lineage: Eukaryota; Viridiplantae; Streptophyta; Magnoliopsida; Fabales; Fabaceae.